This 786-nucleotide long non-coding RNA is filed under the name Homo sapiens (human). RNAcentral describes it as "long non-coding RNA NONHSAT035466.2". The record is from RNAcentral. Lineage: Eukaryota; Metazoa; Chordata; Mammalia; Primates; Hominidae.
AUUUUUCAGAGUAAUGAUUCUCACUGUGGAGUCAUUUGAUUAUUAAGACCCGUUGGCAUAAGAUUACAUCCUCUGACUAUAAAAAUCCUGGAAGAAAACCUAGGAAAUAUUCGUCUGGACAUUGCACUUGGCAAUGAAUUUAUGGGCGCUUUGGAAUCCUGCAGAUAUAAUAAUGAUAAUUAAACAAAACACUCAGAGAAACUGCCAACCCUAGGAUGAAGUAUAUUGUUACUGUGCUUUGGGAUUAAAAUAAGUAACUACAGUUUAUAGAACUUUUAUACUGAUACACAGACACUAAAAAGGGAAAGGGUUUAGAUGAGAAGCUCUGCUGUGCAAUCAAGAAUCUCAGCCACUCAUUUCUGUAGGGGCUGCAGGAGCUCCCUGUAAAGAGAGGUUAUGGAGUCUGUAGCUUCAGGUAACCACUGAUCCACUUCCAGUCACUAUCCAUGAGUUUUUAUUUCCAAAUACAUGAAAUCAUAUGAAUUUCUGGUUUUUCCUGUUGGAGCCCAAGGAGCAAGGGCAGAAUGAGGAACAUGAUGUUUCUUACCGACAGUUACUCAUGACGUCUCCAUCCAGGACUGAGGGGGGCAUCCUUCUCCAUCUAGGACUGGGGGCAUCCUUCUCCAUCCAGUAUUGGGGGUCAUCCUUCUCCAUCCAGUAUUGGGGGUCAUCCUCCUCCAUCCAGGACCUGAGGGGUGUCCUUUUCUGCGCUUCCUUGGAUGGCAGUCUUUCCCUUCAUGUUUAUAGUGAUUUACCAUUAAAUCACUGUGCCGUUUUUUCCUAAAA